RNAcentral lists this ribosomal RNA (366 nucleotides) under Triticum aestivum (bread wheat). RNAcentral's name for it is "partial small subunit ribosomal RNA". The record is from RNAcentral. Lineage: Eukaryota; Viridiplantae; Streptophyta; Magnoliopsida; Poales; Poaceae.
AUGGCGAGACCCACAAGCCAGUCGGUGGCCGCGUUCACCAUCCUGAUGCUCGCCGUGGCCACCCUCGCCAUCGCCCAGGCGCCGCCGCCGCCCAAACGGAGCCGCCAGGAGAUCCACCUGUUCGAGGUGACCGUCGGCCUGGCGGCCGCCGCCACGGAGGACGACUACUACCACCACCACUACCGCCUGCUCGCCACCGUGGUCGGCGGCAUCGAGGCCGCACGGAGCGCCAUGUUCGAGACCGCGCCCUUGAGGUUCAGCGCCUACCUCACCAACAACCAGGCCCGCAGACUAUCAAGAGUCACGGGGGUGCUGGGAGUUCGUCAGAGGGACGACCCUGUGCCCACGGACGACGACGGGCACUGA